RNAcentral lists this non-coding RNA (30 nucleotides) under Rattus norvegicus (Norway rat). Lineage: Eukaryota; Metazoa; Chordata; Mammalia; Rodentia; Muridae. The record is from RNAcentral.
UUUGCGUGAUUUUUGAAUGAACCAAUUCUA